Long non-coding RNA from Triticum aestivum (bread wheat), 1968 nucleotides. RefSeq lists it as uncharacterized. The record is from RefSeq and is a predicted model, not a curated record. Lineage: Eukaryota; Viridiplantae; Streptophyta; Magnoliopsida; Poales; Poaceae. The transcript has 4 exons.
GAAAGAACGUGGCAACACGAGAGCGAUCUUAAAGCAAGGGACGACUCCGCCGCCGUCGACAUACCUCGCCGCAGCCGGCCUUCCCCCUCCCGAUCCAUCUCCAUGGGGAUCCAUGCCGCCGCGCGCACGACGAAGCAGUGGCUGCGGGAGCUAUUUACUCCUCCGUGCGCACGUACGCAUCUCUCUCCCUGGUCCGACCGCAUCUCUCUCCUUCAAGCAUGCAGUUUAACUCUGUUGUAAUUGGUCUGGCGAGGCUGGUAUCAUUGCAGAUGGUGGAUCAGCCUGCCGGCGACGUGAACCUGUGUUUGACAAACUCGCCUUGGACAUCAUACAUCAUAUACAUUCCCUCUUGCCAGUGCGAGAUGCUGCUCGUGCUGCCUGCGUGUGUCGUGGAUUUCUGCAUUCCUGGAGAUGCUAUACCAACCUCACUCUCAACGUGGAAACACUUGGGUUGACUGGCAAGACAUAUAAGGAUGCAGAUAUCUUUCUUAGGGACUCUCGUGUUCUUAUCAACAUAGUUGACAAAAUUCUUAGGAACCACUCCCGCCAUGGGGUGGAGGUUUCCAGGCUUAAUCUUGAGCUCUACUAUUGCAAAAAUAUCGACGCGUCAUACCUGGACAGAUGGCUCCAAAUCACUGCUGUUCGCCCGGGGAUCAAAGAACUUAAGCUUGUGUUGUGUAGAUCCAUGAAGAAAGAGUACAUCUUCCCAUGUUCGGUUUUGUCUAAUGAGGCGGCUGCAAGUUCAAUUAGGUGUCUUGAACUCCAUGUUUGCGCUUUCCGUCCGACAACAACACUUGGCUGCUUGAGUAGAUUGGAAACAUUAUGUUUGUAUUGAGUCAACAUUACUGAUGAGGGAUUAGGGCACUUGCUCUCCAAAUCUUUCGGUUUGGGGAAGAUUGAUAUCAUGAAUUGCAGAAAGAUAAUAUGCUUGAAGAUACCAUGUACGCUGCAGCAACUCAAUGUCCUAACACUUAGCUGGUGUGAGGGGUUGCAGGCGGUAGAGAUCAAUGCUCCCAACCUCUCUACUUUGCACUUUCUUGGGACCCUGGUAGAAAUCUCAGUUGCACAUCCUUCGCAACUUCAGGAUGUGCAUUUGGUAGGUACAUCCCACUUGCUGCCUUAUGCUCGUGCAAAGCUUUCAUGCAUCGCGCCAAAUGUUAAGAGCCUAUCCUUGAUCUCUCUUUGGGAGAAUGUCGAUAUUCCAGUGAUGCCCUCGAAGUUCCCCUACCUCAAGAAGUUGAAAAUUGACAUCCUAAGAUCAUUGCAAGGCUUGUUGUCACUGGUUUCUUUUCUCGAUGCUUCUCCAGCCUUGGAUUCUUUUACCCUACAUGUAGGUCAGGAUGCCUUGAGACCUGAUGAUUUUGUUGUUGGAGGCGAUAAUGCUAAUUACGAGAGGUGGCAACCACAGCGCCGGCAUGAUUGCCUCAGAGAGUGACGAUCACAGGCUUUUGUUCAUCAAAGAAGCUCGUUCAGUUUGUGAUCUAUAUCCUUGAGGGCAGUCCCCAGCUUGAGUGCCUCACACUAGACACAACCCCUGGGCCUCGCUAUAGUACGAAGUGUGGUAUCAUUAGAAAGCACACCUCAAAAAAGAUGGGCAUAUGCUGCCCAAUGAUGACCGAGAGUAAUAUAGCAGAGGCUCACGAAGCUGUUAAGGCUGCGAACACAUACAUUGCAGGGAGAGUUCCCUUGGGUGUUGGAUUGCAGGUCUUGGAGCCAUGUAGUGAAUGCAACAAUCCCAAGCGGUGGUAGAUGUAUGUGGUAUCUAGUGUGGUUUGUCCUAAAGCUAUUCAUUAACAUGUAUACUUAAUUUGUUCAAAGUUCAACCAUGGUCGGCAAGAGGAUUAUUAUUGCCUUUGUGUGUUUUUUUCUUUUGAGAAACUGGCAGCACCACAUCUUUUCCUUAAGAAGAAAUAGAGUCAAGAUGCAGGAGCAGCUUGUUUCUAAACUGGAACACCUCUUUGGUGGCCU